RNAcentral lists this long non-coding RNA (966 nucleotides) under Vigna radiata. Its description in RNAcentral is "long non-coding RNA (VRAD_LNC001303)". The record is from RNAcentral. Lineage: Eukaryota; Viridiplantae; Streptophyta; Magnoliopsida; Fabales; Fabaceae.
AGUACCAUUAAUUCUCCCAUUGAACAGUUUGCCUUGGUUUUAACAUUUACAGACUGUUGGGAUAUUUUUGUUUGGUUGCAGAUUAUUCUGCUAUUACUUCAUUUAGAAACUGACUUGUUUACUCAGUUAGGUUCACUUAAUUAGCGACUAUAACUUUGGAUUUUGUUUGCCUGUGUGAGUUUGGAGCUUUGUAUAAGCUCUGAAGUAUUCUUUGCAUUUGCUUGAUUUUCAUAGAUCCGUUGUUGUGUUUCUCAGUGUCUUGCUUUGAGUCUCUGGUUCUUGUUCAUGUUUUGACCAUUGAACUUCUAAAUAUUAGCUUUGAUGUGACUUCUAAAUAUUAUUUGUUUAUUUUUAUUUUGGUUUGUGAGAUGUCAGGUUUUCGUGUCACGAAAUCUCGNUGUUAUAUCUUCUUUUUAGGUGCAUUNAUGAAACAGGUUGUUCUUAANUUGACUUAUGAAUGAUACUGUUUAAUGUGCUAUAGUUGCUUUCUUACAUCGUGUUUCUUUUUGUAUAUUUUAUCUUCCUUUAUGCAUGCAGGGUAUUCGCUGCUUAUUCUGAGUCUUGGUGUGUUAUGUAAUGAGAUAGCAUAGCAUCCAUAUGUGUCCACUAAGUGCAGAUAAUUUAAAGUCACUCCUGUUAUGUGUAAUAUUUUACAAGGCUUGUAAUACUUUUUACAUAGUCGUAUUUAUGNUGCCACGAAUCUACUUUAUUUUCACUUGAUGGUCACAAUACUCCUUGAACUCCUGAAUAAGGCCACUUUCUACGUUUCAUGUUCAAUAUUCUCUUCUAUCCAAUCUCUUUUCUUGCACUGUAAAUUAGUUUAAACUUUUUUUAAAUACAAUCCUAUAGAAGUUUAUGAAGUUGAUAAAGGUUUUGUAUAUGACAUGAUUCAAUGAUAUGAUGGUGUAUAACAAAACCCUAUUCUUACCACUGUUCUUUGGUUUUGUCCAUGCUCGCUUCCUCCUC